AAGUCGAGCGAACGGAUGAGAAGCUUGCUUCUCUGAUGUUAGCGGCGGACGGGUGAGUAACACGUGGAUAACCUACCUAUAAGACUGGGAUAACUUCGGGAAACCGGAGCUAAUACCGGAUAAUAUUUUGAACCGCAUGGUUCAAAAGUGAAAGACGGUCUUGCUGUCACUUAUAGAUGGAUCCGCGCUGCAUUAGCUAGUUGGUAAGGUAACGGCUUACCAAGGCAACGAUGCAUAGCCGACCUGAGAGGGUGAUCGGCCACACUGGAACUGAGACACGGUCCAGACUCCUACGGGAGGCAGCAGUAGGGAAUCUUCCGCAAUGGGCGAAAGCCUGACGGAGCAACGCCGCGUGAGUGAUGAAGGUCUUCGGAUCGUAAAACUCUGUUAUUAGGGAAGAACAUAUGUGUAAGUAACUGUGCACAUCUUGACGGUACCUAAUCAGAAAGCCACGGCUAACUACGUGCCAGCAGCCGCGGUAAUACGUAGGUGGCAAGCGUUAUCCGGAAUUAUUGGGCGUAAAGCGCGCGUAGGCGGUUUUUUAAGUCUGAUGUGAAAGCCCACGGCUCAACCGUGGAGGGUCAUUGGAAACUGGAAAACUUGAGUGCAGAAGAGGAAAGUGGAAUUCCAUGUGUAGCGGUGAAAUGCGCAGAGAUAUGGAGGAACACCAGUGGCGGAGGCGACUUUCUGGUCUGUAACUGACGCUGAUGUGCGAAAGCGUGGGGAUCAAACAGGAUU
RNAcentral lists this ribosomal RNA (738 nucleotides) under uncultured Staphylococcus sp. Its description in RNAcentral is "bacterial SSU rRNA". It matches the Rfam family "Bacterial small subunit ribosomal RNA", at positions 59 to 779 of the family's 1533-position model. The record is from RNAcentral. Lineage: Bacteria; Bacillati; Bacillota; Bacilli; Caryophanales; Staphylococcaceae.